Molecule: transfer RNA, 81 nt
Filed under: Felis catus (domestic cat)
Lineage: Eukaryota; Metazoa; Chordata; Mammalia; Carnivora; Felidae
Rfam family: tRNA
About the family: Transfer RNA (tRNA) molecules are approximately 80 nucleotides in length. Their secondary structure includes four short double-helical elements and three loops (D, anti-codon, and T loops). Further hydrogen bonds mediate the characteristic L-shaped molecular structure. tRNAs have two regions of fundamental functional importance: the anti-codon, which is responsible for specific mRNA codon recognition, and the 3' end, to which the tRNAs corresponding amino acid is attached (by aminoacyl-tRNA synthetases). tRNAs cope with the degeneracy of the genetic code in two manners: having more than one tRNA (with a specific anti-codon) for a particular amino acid; and 'wobble' base-pairing, i.e. permitting non-standard base-pairing at the 3rd anti-codon position.
Source: Rfam by way of RNAcentral
GCCUGGGUGGCUCAGUCGGUUGAGCGUCCGACUUCAGCUCGGGUCACUCGCGGUCCGUGGGUUCGUGUCCCGCGUUGGGCU